AGUCAGUAAACAAGGAAACAAAUCAAUCAAACUUAUACAAAGGAAGUCUGAAAUCAAUUAAAAUCGAAAGCCAGACUUAGAGGGAAGUUCAGCACACAUACAGAGCACACAAAUAUUCUAGGUUGAAUGUAUGGCAAAGAAAAACGUCACGCCAUUGAAACAUCAAUAGGUAGUAGACUUUAGGAUCAUGGUAGUCACACAGGUCAGCAAUGUAGAAGAGAUAGUAUCAAAUAGCAUGCAAAGGGUACAGUAUAAGGACCUUAGAAAAGUUUAGUGAAGAAUCAGAACUGCUUAAAGAAACAAAAGUUGAAAUAAAUAUUUCAAGACUCAGUUGAGCCACAGAUGAAAGAAAUUUAGAAACUCGAAAUAGAUCCAGAGGAGUUAGAGUUUCUGGAAUCAAAUAAGUUCAAGAAAAUCACAUAACCAACAGUCUCAAAACUCGAAUGAACCCCCAAAUUUUAGGAUUUUUACCAUUAAUCGAGUGCAGAUAUGAGAGGACAAGUAAUCAAGGAAAAAAUACUAAUCGAAUUAGGUUUAGAGGUCUCAGAAAGGAACUGAGACCCUUAACAAACUCUUUCAGUAGGAGGAACUCAUGAGAAGCAUAGUAAAAGAACAACAUCCAAAAGGCAGUAGAAGAACUCAAUGAAACAUAGUAGAAGAAACUAAUAAGAGACCUAGUAGAAGAAACUAAUAAGAACACAGUAGGAGAAACAUAUAAAGAUGCAUAUUCGAGGAAACUUAAUAAGAAAUAUAUAGUAGAAGAAACUCAUAAAGAACAGAGUAUGAUAACCAUAUAAGAAGCAUAGUAGAAGAAACUUAAUAAGAACACAGUAGAGGAAACUAAUAAGAACAUGAUAAUAGAAAAUUAACAAGAACACAGUAGAAGAAACUUGAUAAGAAACAUAGUAGAAGAAACACACAAGAGAAAAAAUUAGAGAACAUCUAAGUAACUCAAAACUCCUAGAUUGGAAAAAUGAAGGUUUUCAAAGCAUAGUUUUGAAAGAAAUCUCAACAAAUCCUCUAAAAGUUUAGGGAUACACGGAUCUAGAACAGAUCUAAAGAAAUCAGAAGAACCUCAAAAGAUAGGGUUUCAGAGGAACCUAAACGGUGAGAAAGGCUUGGAUAUUCGUUGACCUAAGCAGAAUGAGUCGAGGCCAGGCUCGAACAGACAUGACUUGCUAGAGCAAGGCUGGAGAUGGACAUGGAACUAGAAUCAAGCACGGUAUGGACCCAGCUUCUUCGUGGUCAGGUAAUGAGAUUCAGUAACCAAGCGUGGAGGAGCUAUAGAAGGCUGGUGGGUGGUAAAACCACCAUGGAUUCAGGCAAGAAAAUUGUUGGAGAAGGUGAGUGAAGCUCAUCAGAGCGAAGGGGGAGGGGAAGGUUCUAGAGAGAACCAAAGAGAGAGAUAGAAA
This 1412-nucleotide long non-coding RNA is filed under the name Nicotiana benthamiana. RNAcentral's name for it is "long non-coding RNA (NBEN_LNC039689)". The record is from RNAcentral. Lineage: Eukaryota; Viridiplantae; Streptophyta; Magnoliopsida; Solanales; Solanaceae.